GCUUGAGGAGCAAAAGAAAAUCCAGUACCAGGCGCUAUCCUAUCCGAUAUCCACACAGACGUGACUCGUUGCCCUCCCCUCGCACAAUCCCGUCGCGGCGUCGCCCUCCCCUUCUCUCCGACCGGCGGCGCCGACCCUCCCAGCACUGCGACGCCGCCCCUCCCAGCUGCGAAGAUGGAGUCCUUGGUGGCGAACUUGGUGGCCCAGGCCAGCACGAUGUUCUCGUUCUUCCCCGUGAAGUAGUUGAGCACGAAGCAGAUCAGGAAGCUAACGCAGGCGAUCUCGACGGAGAAGGCACGCAGGAGCUCCGCCGGCGUCCUCUUCGGGGCUGGCGCCGCCUCGGCCGCCGCCUCCACGGAGGGAUCUGAUGGGGCGGCCUCGGCCGGCGCGGCGGAGUCGUCGGAGGAGAUCGCCUCCGGCACGGGGAUGCCCUCGAACUCGUCCUCGUCCCAGAGAUCGAGCGCCAGGGUGGGGUUCGAGGGCGUGGGCGCGGCGGGGUUAGGGUUCGGCGCCGAAGUCAUCGUGACGGGAGGGGAAGGCGAGGAGGUGGAGAGGGAGAUGGGCGGAGGGGGCGAGAGGUCGACGCCGUCGAGCCCCUCCUCGUCAUCGUAAGCAUCGACGCCGCCAGCCGUGGAGGGGAGGUCGUCGGAGUCGAAGCCCUCGAAGUUGGCGGCGAGGGAGAAAGUGAGGUUGAGGGCGAGGAGCAGGAGGAGUAGGAGGGCUGCGCGCGGCGGCCGGAGCCCGAUCCAGCUCGGCGCUGCCAUGGCCGAUGAGGUGUUCUGGGGAAGAUGGAGGGGCAUUUUUGUCUAACAGAUUCGAUUUUCAGUUGAGGUCUGCACCUCUCAAAUUGGUAUUUUCAGUUGAGGUCUGUACCUUUCAGUGGUAUUUUACGGUAUCAAUAUCUUUCAAUGAUAUGUUAUAGAAAUCGACCAAUUUUUUCAAAUAAUUUUACGGUAUUUUACGGAGUGAAUGUCUUUCAAUAAUAUUUUAUAGAAGUCGACCAAUUUUUUCAAAUAAAAAUGACAAGCUGGAGUAGACAAUGCUGGUAUGAAUUAUGAUCAAGCUCUAUCUUCUUUAACGGAUCUAGUUUUCCUAGACGGGUAAUCCUCUUCAUCAGAUCUUCAUCCCGAUAGUACUAUGGUUUUAUUCCUCUCCUCUUCUAACGAAGCACUAUGAAAAGAGUAUGUUUAUAUAGUGAUAACUUUUCGAAAAAUAUUUACAUCUACCCGAAAUGAUAGCGAAGACGAGGUUGGAUGUAGAGAUGAAUGAUGUACCAGAGAAGCUAAGAACAAUUCUAACACCCGUCGUCCCACCUCCUGGAGAGAAACGCAAAAAAUUACUCCAACCGAGCUCUCAUCCGCUUCCUAACUUUGAAACCUCUCAUCCAGUGUCCUCGACCUUCUUCCAUAUGUAGGAGUUUCUGCUCCGACUUCUCAUCCGAGAGGGAGGCGCAAUCAUUAAGCUUCCCGCGCCGCCGCAGACUUCCCCUCUCCUGAUCCGCAACUGUAGACAGAGCACCACCGCGAGGUUCGAUGCUUUGCAGCCCUAGCCAUGCGCGCCAUUGCUGGUACCACACGUCAUCGCUAGGCCCUGCGGUGCUCCAAGCAACAAGCUUGUGCUCUGCACGCCACGCGCACAGCUCUGCAGUGCAUUGAUGUGUGAAUCGAAUACAACAAGAUACCGCUGCCAAUCGUCAAAAUUAGCCACCAAAACCACACAUCCCAAAAAAUGAUUAGUCCCCCACUAAUUUACCUCCAUGCAAUUCCAUUUUGAUGGUCACCACUACCAUUUGAUCCAGUAGUGCUGCCGGUGAUAAACAUAAAGAUAUAAAUAUGAAGAGUUUGUUGGAGUUCAUUGUUAAAUAGGAUUGAGAAAUUUAACGAGAGACUCUCGUUUGGGUGAAAUGGGAGUCCAAAAAUAGGAGGAGAGUUGGAGUUGUUCUAUGAUUUCUAGUACGCUCCACUUAUUCUACGCCAAGCACCCAAUCAUAAUCAUACUUUUUAGAAAAAAGAUAGCAGUUAGUGGACCUUUAUAAAUAUUUUUGUUCCAUGUAAUUGUACACAAAUUAAUAAUUAGCUCAUCUAAAUCAUUAUAUUAUUUGUGGUUAAAAUAAUAUUAAACUCGCACAAAUACAAUUGAUUAUAAUAAUUUAGAGGGUCAUCAUAAAAAAUCCACUUAUUUUCCUUUUCAAGAAAAUGAUUGGCUCAACCGUAUUUUUCAAAUGCUUUUCUAUUAUUCAUAUCAUUAUUGGUAAAAUUUAAUGCCUAUUUUUUUUAUUCCUUCAGUAAGAACGUGAUUAACAACCACUUUGGUG
This 2314-nucleotide long non-coding RNA is filed under the name Setaria italica (foxtail millet). RNAcentral describes it as "long non-coding RNA (SITA_LNC001738)". The record is from RNAcentral. Lineage: Eukaryota; Viridiplantae; Streptophyta; Magnoliopsida; Poales; Poaceae.